CAAGUGGUGGAGCAUGUGGUUUAAUUCGAAGAUACGCGAAGAACCUUACCUAGCCUUGACAUUGAUUGGAUACUUUAGAGAUAGAGUAGUGCCCUUCGGGGAACAUGAAAACAGGUGCUGCACGGCUGUCGUCAGCUCGUGUCGUGAGAUGUUGGGUUAAGUCCCGCAACGAGCGCAACCCUCGUCCUUAGUUGCCAGCAGGUUAAGCUGGGCACUUUAAGGAGACUGCCUUCGCAAGGAGGAGGAAGGUGAGGACGACGUCAAGUCAUCAUGGCCCUUAUGGCUAGGGCUACACACGUGCUACAAUGGGGCGUACAGAGAGUUGCGAUACCGCGAGGUGGAGCCAAUCUCAUAAAGCGUCUCUCAGUUCGGAUUGAAGUCUGCAACUCGACUUCAUGAAGCUGGAAUCACUAGUAAUCGUAGAUCAGCAAUGCUACGGUGAAUACGUUCCCGGGUCUUGUACUCACCGCCCGUCACACCAUGGGAGUUGAUUUCACCCGAAAUUGGGAAGCUAACCUUCGGGAGGCUACCA
RNAcentral lists this ribosomal RNA (532 nucleotides) under uncultured Campylobacterota bacterium. RNAcentral describes it as "bacterial SSU rRNA". It matches the Rfam family "Bacterial small subunit ribosomal RNA", at positions 926 to 1455 of the family's 1533-position model. Lineage: Bacteria; Pseudomonadati; Campylobacterota. The record is from RNAcentral.